RNAcentral lists this non-coding RNA (23 nucleotides) under Arabidopsis thaliana (thale cress). The record is from RNAcentral. Lineage: Eukaryota; Viridiplantae; Streptophyta; Magnoliopsida; Brassicales; Brassicaceae.
UCCAACCAAAGUGGUGUAGUUGU